CGGACGGGUGAGUAAUGUCUGGGAAACUGCCUGAUGGAGGGGGAUAACUACUGGAAACGGUAGCUAAUACCGCAUAACGUCGCAAGACCAAAGAGGGGGACCUUCGGGCCUCUUGCCAUCAGAUGUGCCCAGAUGGGAUUAGCUAGUAGGUGGGGUAACGGCUCACCUAGGCGACGAUCCCUAGCUGGUCUGAGAAGAUGACCAGCCACACUGGAACUGAGACACGGUCCAG
This 232-nucleotide ribosomal RNA is filed under the name uncultured Enterobacterales bacterium. Its description in RNAcentral is "partial 16S ribosomal RNA". It matches the Rfam family "Bacterial small subunit ribosomal RNA", at positions 99 to 334 of the family's 1533-position model. Lineage: Bacteria; Pseudomonadati; Pseudomonadota; Gammaproteobacteria; Enterobacterales. The record is from RNAcentral.